GACGAACGCUGGCGGCGUGCUUAACACAUGCAAGUCGAACGGAAAGGCCCUGCUUUUGUGGGGUGCUCGAGUGGCGAACGGGUGAGUAACACGUGAGUAACCUGCCCUUGACUUUGGGAUAACUUCAGGAAACUGGGGCUAAUACCGGAUAGGAGCUCCUGCUGCAUGGUGGGGGUUGGAAAGUUUCGGCGGUUGGGGAUGGACUCGCGGCUUAUCAGCUUGUUGGUGGGGUAGUGGCUUACCAAGGCUUUGACGGGUAGCCGGCCUGAGAGGGUGACCGGCCAAAUUGGGACUGAGAUGAGGCCCAGACUCCUACGGGAGGCAGCGGUGGGGAAUAGUGCACAAUGGGCGGAAGCCUGAUGCAGCAACGCCGCGUGCGGGAUGACGGCCUUCGGGUUGUAAACCGAUUUCGCCUGUGACGAAGCGUGAGUGACGGUAAUGGGUAAAGAAGCACCGGCUAACUACGUG
Molecule: ribosomal RNA, 468 nt
Filed under: uncultured bacterium
Lineage: Bacteria
Description: partial 16S ribosomal RNA
Rfam family: Bacterial small subunit ribosomal RNA
Source: RNAcentral